GUUUUUACCGACCCGUCUUGAAACACGGACCAAGGAGUCUAACAUCUAUGCGAGUGUUCGGGUGUCAAACCCCUACGCGUAAUGAAAGUGAACGGAGGUGAGAACCGCAAGGUGCAUCAUCGACCGAUCCUGAUGUCUUCGGAUGGAUUUGAGUAUGAGCAUAGCUGUUGGGACCCGAAAGAUGGUGAACUAUGGCUGAGUAGGGUGAAGCCAGGGGAA
Molecule: ribosomal RNA, 219 nt
Filed under: uncultured Stichotrichia
Lineage: Eukaryota; Ciliophora; Spirotrichea
Description: partial Eukaryotic large subunit ribosomal RNA
Rfam family: Eukaryotic large subunit ribosomal RNA
Source: RNAcentral